AGAAAUCCGCAAAACCAAAUCCUUUCAACCAUCGCGAAGAACAAACCCAGAUUGACACUCCAAAAACCAGAACUCCACACUCCCAAACAAGAAAUCUCAUCCAACGAAACCCAACCUCACAUCCAGAAACCCGGAAAUCGAACUAUCCAUAAUCGAUCCCCAUAUUUUCAUAUUUCGACCUCGAAGUCGGGCUUGUCUCCCUUCUUGGAAUCCAUAAGAAUUUAUUUUUGCCUUCGAGAAAGG
RNAcentral lists this long non-coding RNA (243 nucleotides) under Olea europaea (common olive). RNAcentral's name for it is "long non-coding RNA (OEUR_LNC009562)". Lineage: Eukaryota; Viridiplantae; Streptophyta; Magnoliopsida; Lamiales; Oleaceae. The record is from RNAcentral.